GUCAAAAUUGGGUUGAUCAAUUUGUUUUCCUUGAAUUUGUUCCAUCAAUCUGACUGUGAUACCUACUGGUCGAACAGAGACGAAAGUCGGCCAUAGUGAUCCGGGAGUCCUGUGUGGAAGGGCUCUCGCUCAA
RNAcentral lists this non-coding RNA (133 nucleotides) under Solanum lycopersicum (tomato). The record is from Rfam by way of RNAcentral. Lineage: Eukaryota; Viridiplantae; Streptophyta; Magnoliopsida; Solanales; Solanaceae. RNAcentral also lists the same sequence under 1 other name.